Molecule: transfer RNA, 79 nt
Filed under: Streptococcus salivarius SK126
Lineage: Bacteria; Bacillati; Bacillota; Bacilli; Lactobacillales; Streptococcaceae
Description: tRNA-Arg
Rfam family: tRNA
About the family: Transfer RNA (tRNA) molecules are approximately 80 nucleotides in length.
Source: RNAcentral
UGGUCCCAUAGCUCAGCUGGAUAGAGCAUUCGCCUUCUAAGCGAACGGUCGCAGGUUCGAAUCCUGCUGGGAUCAGAUA